UACGGAGGGUGCGAGCGUUAUUCGGAAUUAUUGGGCGUAAAGGGCGUGUAGGCGGCUUAUCAAGUCAGAUGUGAAAGCCCGAGGCUCAACCUCGGAAGUGCAUUUGAAACUGGUAGGCUUGAGUGCGGGAGAGGAAAGCGGAAUUCCCAGUGUAGAGGUGAAAUGCGUAGAGAUUGGGAGGAACACCAGUGGCGAAGGCGGCUUUCUGGACUGUAACUGACGCUGAGGCAUGAAAGUGUGGGGAGCAAAC
RNAcentral lists this ribosomal RNA (250 nucleotides) under uncultured bacterium. RNAcentral's name for it is "partial 16S ribosomal RNA". It matches the Rfam family "Bacterial small subunit ribosomal RNA", at positions 524 to 773 of the family's 1533-position model. The record is from RNAcentral.